CGGAGCCAAGGCAGAAGCAGGCUGAGCACCCAGCUGCCUCCCAUGAAGCCAGAUGUUAAGAUAUUUGCAAAACUUUACUCCGUGCCACCCUUGUCACUAAAUUUUUUGUUGGGGAAAAUUAUCUUUCAAUGGACACAUUACAGAGGUUCGAGGGCCAAUUAGGCUGCUGUGAUCAGAAGCAGCCAUAAAUGUGGAACAGACCAGCAGCGUGGACUUGACCUGCAGGCAUGUCUGCUCAGCCACAAAAUGGUGGGCCAGAGGCAUGAUGAUCAUCUCUAGGAUCUCCUCACACUGGCAAGACUCCAGAGGGAUGAUGUCUUCCUCGG
Long non-coding RNA from Neofelis nebulosa (Clouded leopard), 326 nucleotides. RefSeq lists it as uncharacterized. NCBI's taxonomy places the organism in Eukaryota, Metazoa, Chordata, Mammalia, Carnivora, Felidae. The record is from RefSeq and is a predicted model, not a curated record. The transcript has 3 exons.